Molecule: small nucleolar RNA, 133 nt
Organism: Apodemus sylvaticus (European woodmouse)
Lineage: Eukaryota; Metazoa; Chordata; Mammalia; Rodentia; Muridae
Product: small nucleolar RNA SNORA17
Exons: 1
Source: RefSeq, a predicted model, not a curated record
CCUACCCAUAGAGACAUUGCAUGUGUUGCUGCUGUGUCAUAUUUGCUUCAAUAGUUGGCAGAGAGGAAAGAGGCUAUACCUAUCCUCAGUGUUCUGACCUGAAGAACAACUGAAUGAUUAGUAGCCUAACACU